UUUUCCAGAUUCGGGGAAGAGGUGAACACUGGCGUCAAGACCAUUUUGGAUAUCCUCCCCGAUCGCCUCCCCGCCAUUGGUUACUAAUCUUCGCUGCACUGCCGCCGGAGGCCCUCCUGUCGUUCUCCGGGAUUCUAGGGUUCUUUGAUUCUAGGGUUCUAUAGACGGGCACAUGGGGAAGCAAGAGCGCACUCAACCGCGAGUGAAGGGUACUAUGUACUGUUGGGCUAAGUUCAAACUGGAAUCAGGGCCAUUGCUUAUUUUCAUUGAUAGUUUUGGCAGUUCCAACAUCAAUACUUACAGUCGCUGAGUCAUUGGGGCAUGUUGUCCUUGGAUGGCGCAGUGUGCCAACUGAUAAUACAGGCUUAGGCAAGUCAGCUCUUGAGACAGAGCCAGUAAUUGAACAAGUGUUUCUCACCAUAAGUCCAUGAUCAAAUGCCAACUUUGAGCAACAGGUCCUUUAAUUCUUCAAUUCUUGGGGCUGAUAUGGGAAAAGAUUCUUUAAACUAUGUUGGCCUUUAUUUCCUUUGACAAAUGCAGAUGUACAUAUUGCGGAGGGUCUCUAUGGUUGCUAUUCGAGCUGCACAAAUUUGAAGCAUGGUGGAAUGAGGGAUUUAUAUAUAUAUGUUCCUUGUCAUCGGGGU
Dioscorea cayenensis subsp. rotundata (Guinea yam) is the source of this 644-nucleotide long non-coding RNA. RefSeq lists it as uncharacterized. The record is from RefSeq and is a predicted model, not a curated record. NCBI's taxonomy places the organism in Eukaryota, Viridiplantae, Streptophyta, Magnoliopsida, Dioscoreales, Dioscoreaceae. The transcript has 4 exons.